This 468-nucleotide ribosomal RNA is filed under the name uncultured bacterium. Its description in RNAcentral is "partial 16S ribosomal RNA". It matches the Rfam family "Bacterial small subunit ribosomal RNA", at positions 28 to 507 of the family's 1533-position model. The record is from RNAcentral.
GACGAACGCUGGCGGCGUGCUUAACACAUGCAAGUCGAACGGAAAGGCCCUGCUUUUGUGGGGUGCUCGAGUGGCGAACGGGUGAGUAACACGUGAGUAACCUGCCCUUGACUUUGGGAUAACUUCAGGAAACUGGGGCUAAUACCGGAUAGGAGCUCCUGCUGCAUGGUGGGGGUUGGAAAGUUUCGGCGGUUGGGGAUGGACUCGCGGCUUAUCAGCUUGUUGGUGGGGUAGUGGCUUACCAAGGCUUUGACGGGUAGCCGGCCUGAGAGGGUGACCGGCCACAUUGGGACUGAGAUACGGCCCGGACUCCUACGGGAGGCAGCAGUGGGGAAUAUUGCACAAUGGGCGGAAGCCUGAUGCAGCAACGCCGCGUGCGGGAUGACGGCCUUCGGGUUGUAGACCGCUUUCGCCUGUGACGAAGCGUGAGUGACGGUAAUGGGUAAAGAAGCACCGGCUAACUACGUG